RNAcentral lists this ribosomal RNA (254 nucleotides) under uncultured bacterium. RNAcentral's name for it is "partial 16S ribosomal RNA". It matches the Rfam family "Bacterial small subunit ribosomal RNA", at positions 524 to 776 of the family's 1533-position model. The record is from RNAcentral.
CACGUAGGGAGCAAGCGUUGUCCGGAUUUAUUGGGCGUAAAGAGCUCGUAGGUGGUUCGGUAAGUCGGGUGUGAAAACUCUGGGCUCAACUCAGAGACGCCACCCGAUACUGCUGUGACUUGAGUCUGGUAGGGGAGUGUGGAAUUCCUAGUGUAGCGGUGAAAUGCGCAGAUAUUAGGAGGAACACCAAUAGCGAAGGCAGCUCGCUGGGACGUUACUGACACUGAGGCGCGAAAGCGUGGGGAGCGAACAGG